UACGGGGGGAGCAAGCGUUGUUCGGAUUUACUGGGCGUAAAGGGCGCGUAGGCGGCCACCGCAAGUCGACUGUGAAAUCUCCGGGCUUAACCCGGAAAGGUCAGCCGAUACUGCGGGGCUAGAGUGCAGAAGGGGCAACUGGAAUUCUCGGUGUAGCGGUGAAAUGCGUAGAUAUCGAGAGGAACACCUGCGGCGAAGGCGGGUUGCUGGGCCGACACUGACGCUGAGGCGCGAAGGCGUGGGGAGCGAACGGG
RNAcentral lists this ribosomal RNA (254 nucleotides) under uncultured bacterium. Its description in RNAcentral is "partial 16S ribosomal RNA". It matches the Rfam family "Bacterial small subunit ribosomal RNA", at positions 524 to 776 of the family's 1533-position model. The record is from RNAcentral.